RNAcentral lists this ribosomal RNA (516 nucleotides) under uncultured bacterium. RNAcentral's name for it is "bacterial SSU rRNA". It matches the Rfam family "Bacterial small subunit ribosomal RNA", at positions 29 to 537 of the family's 1533-position model. The record is from RNAcentral.
AUUGAACGCUGGCGGCGUGCCUAACACAUGCAAGUCGAGCGGUAACAGGUGUAGCAAUACAUGCUGACGAGCGGCGGACGGGUGAGUAACGCUUGGGAAUCUGCCUGUUAGUGGGGGACAACCCGGGGAAACUCGGGCUAAUACCGCAUACGCACUACGGUGGAAAGCCGGGGACCGCAAGGCCUGGCGCUUACAGAUGAGCCCAAGUCGGAUUAGCUAGUUGGUAGGGUAAUGGCCUACCAAGGCGACGAUCCGUAACUGGUCUGAGAGGACGACCAGUCACACCGGAACUGAGACACGGUCCGGACUCCUACGGGAGGCAGCAGUGGGGAAUAUUGGACAAUGGGCGAAAGCCUGAUCCAGCGACGCCGCGUGGGUGAAGAAGGCCUGCGGGUUGUAAAGCCCUUUCGGUGGGGAAGAAAAGCCUCGAGCUAAUACCUCGGGGUCUUGACGUAACCCAUAGAAGAAGCACCGGCUAACUCUGUGCCAGCAGCCGCGGUAAUACAGAGGGUGCGG